RNAcentral lists this ribosomal RNA (253 nucleotides) under uncultured bacterium. Its description in RNAcentral is "partial 16S ribosomal RNA". It matches the Rfam family "Bacterial small subunit ribosomal RNA", at positions 524 to 776 of the family's 1533-position model. The record is from RNAcentral.
UACGUAGGGUGCGAGCGUUGCCCGGAUUUAUUGGGCGUAAAGGGCGCGUAGGCGGUGAGAUGCGUCCGUUGUGAAAUCGCCCGGCUCAACUGGGCGGGGUCAGCGGAUACGGUCUCACUUGAGCAAGCUAGGGGGCAAUGGAAUUCCCGGUGUAGUGGUGGAAUGCGUAGAUAUCUGGAGGAACACCGGUGGCGAAGGCGGCGUCCUGGACCAACACUGACACUGAAAAGCGAAAGCCAGGGGAGCAAACGGG